UCCCUCAGGCACCCAUUCCCUGCCCACCACUCCGUUCUGCUCCUUGCAGAAGAAUGAGCGAGAAACGAAGUGGCUGGAACAGUAUCAGGCACAGCAGCCGAAGGCUGCCCUGAGACGGUUCCAGGUCCUGCUGCAGAAGAUGAAGGCGCUGGAGGACACCGCACGGCACCAUGAGAAGGCAGGUGCCAGGCUCGCCUAGGCAGGGGCUGCACAUGGGAAACUGUAGUGCCCCCAGCCUCACCUCAUGCUCCACCCCAAAGGUGCUAGAAAAGAUGGAGCAGGUGCUGGAGGACCAGCUGCUGCAGGAGAGAAAGGAGCACCGCGCCCCCCAGCAGGCGGCUGGGAAAGCCGCACGCAGGAUCUCCUGGCCAGUACUACAGACAAGUUUAACCUCAUGGCCAAGAUGGAGCAGGUGCAGAGCCGUAUAAAAGCCAG
This 435-nucleotide long non-coding RNA is filed under the name Cavia porcellus (domestic guinea pig). RNAcentral's name for it is "lncRNA (ENSCPOG00000036536.1)". Lineage: Eukaryota; Metazoa; Chordata; Mammalia; Rodentia; Caviidae. The record is from RNAcentral.